CCUACGGGAGGCAGCAGUGGGGAAUAUUGGGCAAUGGGCGCAAGCCUGACCCAGCAACGCCGCGUGAAGGAAGAAGGCUUUCGGGUUUUAAACUUCUUUUAAGAGGGAAGAGAAGAAGACGGUACCUCUUGAAUAAGCCACGGCUAACUACGUGCCAGCAGCCGCGUCAAUACGUAGGUGGCAAGCGUUGUCCGGAUUUACUGGGUGUAAAGGGCGUGCAGCCGGGCUGACAAGUCAGAUGUGAAAUCCCGCGGCUCAACCGCGGAACUGCAUUUGAAACUGUCAGUCUUGAGUACCGGAGAGGUCAUCGGAAUUCGUUGUGUAGCGGUGAAAUGCGUAGAUAUAAGGAAGAACACCAGUGGCGAAGGCGGAUGACUGGACGGCAACUGACGGUGAGGCGCGAAAGCGUGGGGAGCAAACAGGAUUAGAUACCCCUGUAGUC
This 442-nucleotide ribosomal RNA is filed under the name uncultured bacterium. RNAcentral describes it as "partial 16S ribosomal RNA". It matches the Rfam family "Bacterial small subunit ribosomal RNA", at positions 338 to 795 of the family's 1533-position model. The record is from RNAcentral.